Molecule: ribosomal RNA, 294 nt
Filed under: uncultured bacterium
Lineage: Bacteria
Description: partial 16S ribosomal RNA
Rfam family: Archaeal small subunit ribosomal RNA
Source: RNAcentral
GUGGCCAGCAGCCGCGGUAAUACCGGCAGCCCAAGUGAUGGCCACUCUUAUUGGGCCUAAAGCGUCCGUAGCCGGCCUCGCAAGUCCGUCGGGAAAUCCAGUAGCUCAACUACUGGGCGUCCGGCGGAAACUACAAGGCUUGGGACCGGAAGGCUCGAGGGGUACGUCCGGGGUAGGAGUGAAAUCCCGUAAUCCCGCACAGACCACCGAUGGCGAAAGCACCUCGAGAAGACGGCUCCGACGGUGAGGGACGAAAGCCAGGGUCUCGAACCGGAUUAGAUACCCUGGUAGUCC